AGAGUUUGAUCAUGGCUCAGGACGAACGCUGGCGGCGCGCCUAACACAUGCAAGUCGAGGGAGAACUGAAGAGCUUGCUCUUCGGGGAGACCGGCGAACGGGUGAGUAACACGUGAGGACACCUACCUUGGAGACCGGAAUAACCACUGGAAACGGUGGCUAAUGCCGGAUGAUCUGACCGUCUCGCAUGAGGGGGUCAGCAAAUGGUCCGCCGCUCCAAGAUGGCCUCGCGGCCUAUCAGCUUGUUGGUGAGGUAAUGGCUCACCAAGGCGACGACGGGUAGCCGGCCUGAGAGGGUGACCGGCCACACUGGGACUGAGACACGGCCCAGACUCCUACGGGAGGCAGCAGUGGGGAAUAUUGCACAAUGGGCGAAAGCCUGAUGCAGCGACGCCGCGUGAGGGAUGACGGCCUUCGGGUUGUAAACCUCUUUCAGUAGGGAAGAAGCGAAAGUGACGGUACCUGCAGAAGAAGCGCCGGCUAACUACGUGCCAGCAGCCGCGGUAAUACGUAGGGCGCAAGCGUUAUCCGGAAUUAUUGGGCGUAAAGAGCUCGUAGGCGGUUUGUCGCGUCUGCCGUGAAAGUCCGGGGCUCAACUCCGGAUCUGCGGUGGGUACGGGCAGACUAGAGUGAUGUAGGGGAGACUGGAAUUCCUGGUGUAGCGGUGAAAUGCGCAGAUAUCAGGAGGAACACCGAUGGCGAAGGCAGGUCUCUGGGCAUUAACUGACGCUGAGGAGCGAAAGCAUGGGGAGCGAACAGGAUUAGAUACCCCGGUAGUCC
RNAcentral lists this ribosomal RNA (780 nucleotides) under uncultured Arthrobacter sp. RNAcentral describes it as "bacterial SSU rRNA". It matches the Rfam family "Bacterial small subunit ribosomal RNA", at positions 8 to 796 of the family's 1533-position model. The record is from RNAcentral. Lineage: Bacteria; Bacillati; Actinomycetota; Actinomycetes; Micrococcales; Micrococcaceae.